AAGAGAUAAUACGAUAUACUAUCCAGCCAUCAGAUUGGACUGAGUAUCAUCAUUUCCAGGAAGAUCUGUAGUUGAAAUUGUCCUGGCUGUAUGUGGUGAGUAAUCCACUGGUAGCUUUUGAUUAUAAUUAACUACACUUACAAAACUAGCUUGCAGACUGAAACCAGUGAUUAAUUUUCCACAAC
This 185-nucleotide long non-coding RNA is filed under the name Anas platyrhynchos platyrhynchos (common mallard). RNAcentral's name for it is "lncRNA (ENSAPLG00000026457.1)". The record is from RNAcentral. Lineage: Eukaryota; Metazoa; Chordata; Aves; Anseriformes; Anatidae.